UGGAUUCCAUGAGGUAGAACCCAAACAGGGAAUGUCAGUCAGUAACGCAAGUCAGUCAGUCAGUAUGUAAUAGCUGCUGGCUUUACGACAGUCUCGUUUCACCCUGUAACGCGAAUCGCCGAGGUUUUACCGCGAAUUUUGUGAUUGAAAUUAUUUCUCCUCAGGAGAAGGAGUAGGGACGAAAAACUGGAGAUCGAAUCAACAUGGGGCUAUUCAAGUGGCCUAUCGAGAGGUCCAAUGUGAGAACAAUGGAGUGCCCUUGGAAAAAGAUGGGUGCUGGUGAUGAUGAUGAUGAUGAUUGUGGCACUGUGGUGUUUAAAAUGCACUGGUUUGGGCCGAUGGUGCUGCCUUGUUAGUGGCUAGGGGGGAGGGAACAAGUCCGUUGCCACCUAUGAGACUAUCUACAACUGAAGAUCGAGGCAAGCCACGGGAUGGUGAUACUACAGCCCAGCUGACCCACCCUGAUGACGACGAGACAACCCUAAGGCAGUUGCUUAUGAGUCUGCAGAAGCAGGUGACAGUGAUGAGCGUCAACUUGAACGCCAAGUUGGACGAACUCCAGCGUUCAGACCGACAGCUGGAGACGACAGUGGCAUUGUGUGAGAUAAGGUCCCAGCUCCAGGAGUUGACAAAAUCUGUCGAAUCGUGUCAGUCUGAGGUGUCGGAAGUGAAGAGGGACAUGGUGGCAAUAAAGCAUGAGGUUGACACGUUCCAGCAGGUCAAAGAGCAGAUUGAAGAGCUCAAAGUAUUUGUCGAUAGACUAGAUGAACAGACUCACAGGCGGAAGCUAAGGCUACUGGAGCAGGGAUUAACAUUCUUUCUGUCUUACACAAUAAUGGCUUCUAUGCUCGGGAUGUUCCAAUUUGGGUACAACACAGGUGUCAUCAAUGCUCCAGAAAACAAUAUUGAAAAAUUUAUGAGAGACGUCUACAGGGAUAGAAAUAAAAAGGAUUUGCAAGAAGAUUCUGCUAAACUUAUGUAUUCCUUCGCCGUGUCGAUAUUUGCAAUAGGUGGAAUGAUUGGAGGAUUCAGUGGUGGUGCAGUCGCUAACAAGUUCGGAAGGAAAGGGGGUCUGCUGAUAAACAAUUUUGUGGGGAUCAGUGGAGCGGCUAUGAUGGCCUUUACAAAAGCAUGUAAUUCAUAUGAAAUGCUUUUCCUAGGAAGGUUCAUUAUUGGUGUUAACUGUGGUUUAAACACUUCCCUUGUGCCUAUGUACAUAUCUGAGAUAGCUCCAUUAAAUCUAAGAGGAGGUUUAGGGACUGUGAAUCAACUGGCUGUGACAGUUGGAUUACUGAUAUCUCAGAUCUUAGGUAUAGAUGAAAUUUUAGGAACAGACGAUGGUUGGCCUGUUCUAUUAGGUUUAGCUAUUUGCCCUGCUGUAAUACAGCUUAUCCUUCUUCCAAUUUGCCCUGAAUCACCAAGAUACCUGCUCAUUACGAAACAAUGGGAGGAAGAAGCACGGAAAGCCUUAAGAAGGUUGCGAGCUUCAAACCAAGUUGAGGAGGAUAUUGAAGAGAUGAGGGCAGAGCAGAGAGCUCAACAAAGUGAAAAUACAGUUUCAAUAUCUGAGCUGAUCUGCUCACCAACCCUUAGGCAACCUCUAAUAAUCAGCAUAGUUAUGCAGUUGUCCCAACAACUGUCAGGGAUUAUUGCUGUUUUUUAUUAUUCCACGGAUAUUUUUAUGAACUCAGGGCUUUCAGAAGAAAUAGCUAAAGACAUGACCAUUGGAAUCGGUGCCAUAAUGGUUAUAAUGACUUUAGCGACUGUCCCACUGAUGGACAGAAUGGGUAGACGGACUCUUCAUUUAUAUGGUCUCGGAGGAAUGUUUAUAUUCUCAAUAUUCAUAACAAUCUCAUUCCUAAUAAAAGAGUUUUUCGGUUAUGUACAGGAAAUGAUAGACUGGAUGUCAUAUUUGUCCGUCGCAUCAACAUUAAUGUUUGUGGUGUUCUUUGCCCUUGGCCCGGGCUCAAUCCCUUGGCUCAUUACUGCGGAGCUCUUCUCCCAGGGGCCAAGGCCUACUGCAAUGUCCAUUGCGGUCCUUGUCAAUUGGCUGGCGAACUUCCUUGUCGGAAUCGGUUUUAAACCGAUGCAGCGAUGCUUAGAAAAUUACACUUUUCUGCCAUUUGCUGUACUCCUUGCUGGUUUCUGGAUCUUCACGUACAAAAAGGUCCCAGAAACAAAAAACAAAACCUUUGAAGAAAUUCUGGUAUUGUUUAGGAAUAACAAUGGAAGAAAAAAAACUGUUAAAUUGAGAGAAAGAGAGAGAGAAAGCGAGAGAAAGAGAGAAAAGGAAGGUGUGCUACCUCUGUUUGCAGGAGCACGCUUAACUGUGUGAAUUCAUUAGAGCAACGAUUAGCGACAACAGAGCGCUCAACGGUCAACCCUCUCCCUCAAUCAUUUGCUUCCGAGCAUUUUUCUCAAGAUCUGGGUCAACCCGUAAGGCCCCCUCCCCCACUACCUCCGCCACGCCACCCGAACAACGGUGU
RNAcentral lists this unclassified non-coding RNA (2486 nucleotides) under Cimex lectularius (bed bug). RNAcentral's name for it is "glucose transporter type 1, transcript variant X16". Lineage: Eukaryota; Metazoa; Arthropoda; Insecta; Hemiptera; Cimicidae. The record is from RNAcentral.